AUUGAACGCUGGCGGCAUGCCUUACACAUGCAAGUCGAACGGCAGCACGGGAGCAAUCCUGGUAGCGAGUGGCGAACGGGUGAGUAAUAUAUCGGAACGUGCCCAGUCGUGGGGAUAACGUAGCGAAAGCUACGCUAAUACCGCAUACGAUCUACGGAUGAAAGCGGGGGAUCGCAAGACCUCGCGCGAUUGGAGCGGCCGAUAUCAGAUUAGGUAGUUGGUGAGGUAAAGGCUCACCAAGCCGACGAUCUGUAGCUGGUCUGAGAGGACGACCAGCCACACUGGGACUGAGACACGGCCCAGACUCCUACGGGAGGCAGCAGUGGGGAAUUUUGGACAAUGGACGCAAGUCUGAUCCAGCCAUGCCGCGUGCGGGAGGAAGGCUCGUGUACG
This 393-nucleotide ribosomal RNA is filed under the name uncultured bacterium. Its description in RNAcentral is "bacterial SSU rRNA". It matches the Rfam family "Bacterial small subunit ribosomal RNA", at positions 30 to 421 of the family's 1533-position model. The record is from RNAcentral.